This 1261-nucleotide ribosomal RNA is filed under the name Nanophyetus salmincola. RNAcentral describes it as "LSU rRNA". It matches the Rfam family "Eukaryotic large subunit ribosomal RNA", at positions 69 to 906 of the family's 3401-position model. The record is from RNAcentral. Lineage: Eukaryota; Metazoa; Platyhelminthes; Trematoda; Plagiorchiida; Nanophyetidae.
AAGGAAUUCCCUUAGUAACGGCGAGUGAACAGGGAAAAGCCCAGCACCGAAGCCUGUGGUCAUUUGAUCACUAGGCAAUGUGGUGUUCAGGUCGUUCCGUUGAGGUGCUGCUCCACCCUAAGUCCAGCAAUGAGUACGGUGGUACGGACAUGGCCCACAGAGGGUGAAAGGCCCGUGGGGGUGGAGAUCAGGCAGGCCAGUGCCUCUCUGGGUAGACCUUGGAGUCGGGUUGUUUGUGAAUGCAGCCCAAAGUGGGUGGUAAACUCCAUCCAAGGCUAAAUACUUGCACGAGUCCGAUAGCGAACAAGUACCGUGAGGGAAAGUUGAAAAGUACUUUGAAGAGAGAGUAAACAGUGCGUGAAACCGCUCAGAGGUAAGCGGGUGGAGUUGAACUGCAAGCUUUGAGAAUUCAGCUGGUGAGUAUGGUUUGAGCUUGGUCAAGUUUGGCUGGAUAUUGAGGUCUGCGUAGUGGCAGGUUCUAGUCCCUCGGGGCAGGAUGCGCGAUACACUUAUCAAGUGUUGUGCGCCUCAGUAUUAUUCGGGCCUACUCGCCAGUGCACUUUCUCAGAGUGUUCACCACGACCGGCACUGCUGUCUGGCUGUAGUGGUUAAACCGGGCUUACAUCGUCCUUGUGGCUUUGCAUGUUCGGGAAGGCAGGUGGCACGUUGGCUUGCUUGUAGUUUACUGCAGGCAUUUGGUCUUCGUGUGUAAUCAGCUGACCACAACAGUUCUGUGCAGUGUGUCGGGGCUAGCGGCUUGUGGUACUUGCGUGCGUGCUUGUUCUGCUGGCGAGUCCGGGUUUGGUUAUCAUGUUGCCUGCAAGUGCAGGCCUGGGAAUGGCUCGGAUUCGUCCAGUGGGCGGUUGCGUACGUGGUGCUGUUAGAUGGCCAAGAGUCUGUGGUGUAGUGGUAGACUAUCCACCCGACCCGUCUUGAAACACGGACCAAGGAGAGUAACAUGUGCGCGAGUCAUUGGGCGUAACGAAACCCACAGGCGCAGUGAAAGUAAAGGUCUGGCUUGUCUAGACUGAGGUGAGAUCCUGUCGUUUUCACGCCUGGUACCACCAAGCAUCGAGCGGCAGGCGCAUCACCGGCCCGUCCCAUGACGUAGACACAUAAUCUUCGGACCAGUGCACCGUCGGGGCGGAGCAUGAGCGUACAUGUUGAGACCCGAAAGAUGGUGAACUAUGCUUGCGCAGGUUGAAGCCAGAGGAAACUCUGGUGGAGGACCGCAGCGAUUCUGACGUGCAAAUCGAUCGUC